GGCUGCCUCUAAGAAGAUUCUGAUAUUGGAGGUAGACCAUUUCCAUUUAUACUUGCACAGGGAAGCUUAGUUCUCUUUGAAUCAUGACAUUAUUGCUGGCUUUAUCAUCUUUUUCAUAGUUUCAGGUUUUUCUCAGGAUCACUGUGCCAAGGAGAUUGAGAAGCAUGAUUCACUUGCAAAACUAUGUGCAGAAGAGAGUUGCCAGUUUGCAUUGAAGAGAAGGCUGUCAUUCCUAGGAGCUUUUACACUAAUGAAAUUAUAGAAAUAAAAACUAACAAAACUUUAA
Long non-coding RNA from Antechinus flavipes (yellow-footed antechinus), 286 nucleotides. RefSeq lists it as uncharacterized. NCBI's taxonomy places the organism in Eukaryota, Metazoa, Chordata, Mammalia, Dasyuromorphia, Dasyuridae. The record is from RefSeq and is a predicted model, not a curated record. The transcript is spliced from 2 exons.